This 639-nucleotide ribosomal RNA is filed under the name uncultured bacterium. RNAcentral describes it as "partial 16S ribosomal RNA". The stretch from base 1 to 541 matches the Rfam family "Bacterial small subunit ribosomal RNA", at positions 338 to 873 of the family's 1533-position model. The record is from RNAcentral.
CCUACGGGAGGCAGCAGUGGGGAAUUUUGGACAAUGGGCGCAAGCCUGAUCCAGCAAUGCCGCGUGAGUGAAGAAGGCCUUCGGGUUGUAAAGCUCUUUUGUCAGGGAAGAAACGGUUGAGGCUAAUAUCCUCGGCUAAUGACGGUACCUGAAGAAUAAGCACCGGCUAACUACGUGCCAGCAGCCGCGGUAAUACGUAGGGUGCAAGCGUUAAUCGGAAUUACUGGGCGUAAAGCGUGCGCAGGCGGUUUUGUAAGUCUGUCGUGAAAGCCCCGGGCUUAACCUGGGAAUUGCGAUGGAGACUGCAAGGCUUGAAUCUGGCAGAGGGGGGUAGAAUUCCACGUGUAGCAGUGAAAUGCGUAGAGAUGUGGAGGAACACCGAUGGCGAAGGCAGCCCCCUGGGUCAAGAUUGACGCUCAUGCACGAAAGCGUGGGGAGCAAACAGGAUUAGAUACCCUGGUAGUCCACGCCCUAAACGAUGUCUACUAGUUGUCGGGUCUUAAUUGACUUGGUAACGCAGCUAACGCGUGAGUAGACCGCCGNGGGAGGUACGGUCGGCGAGAAGUUAAACGUAACAAAGUAGUAAGUUAGUACGGCGUGAGACGUAGACCGAACGGACGACCGACGAGGGGAGGAGGG